RNAcentral lists this ribosomal RNA (111 nucleotides) under Trachymyrmex cornetzi. Lineage: Eukaryota; Metazoa; Arthropoda; Insecta; Hymenoptera; Formicidae. The record is from RNAcentral.
ACAAAUGUAUACAUACAUAUCAGUUCUCGUCCGAUCACUGAAGUCAAGCAGCGUUGGGCACGGUUAGUACAUGGAUGGGUGACCGCUUGGGAACACAGUGUAACAUUGGCC